This 431-nucleotide ribosomal RNA is filed under the name uncultured bacterium. RNAcentral describes it as "partial 16S ribosomal RNA". It matches the Rfam family "Bacterial small subunit ribosomal RNA", at positions 29 to 507 of the family's 1533-position model. The record is from RNAcentral.
AACGAACGCUGGCGGCAGGCCUAACACAUGCAAGUCGAGCGCCCUUUCGGGGGAGCGGCGGACGGGUGAGUAACGCGUGGGAAUAUGCCCUUCUCUACGGAAUAGCCUCGGGAAACUGAGAGUAAUACCGUAUACGCCCUGUGGGGGAAAGAUUUAUCGGGGAAGGAUUAGCCCGCGUUGGAUUAGGUAGUUGGUGGGGUAAUGGCCUACCAAGCCGACGAUCCAUAGCUGGUUUGAGAGGAUGAUCAGCCACACUGGGACUGAGACACGGCCCAGACUCCUACGGGAGGCAGCAGUGGGGAAUCUUAGACAAUGGGGGCAACCCUGAUCUAGCCGUGCCGCGUGAGUGAUGAAGGCCUUAGGGUUGUAAAGCUCUUUCAGCUGGGAAGAUAAUGACGGUACCAGCAGAAGAAGCCCCGGCUAACUCCGUG